Molecule: ribosomal RNA, 490 nt
Filed under: uncultured bacterium
Lineage: Bacteria
Description: partial 16S ribosomal RNA
Rfam family: Bacterial small subunit ribosomal RNA
Source: RNAcentral
AUUGAACGCUGGCGGCAUGCCUUACACGUGCAAGUCGAACGGCAGCAUGAUCUAGCUUGCUAGAUUGAUGGCGAGUGGCGAACGGGUGAGUAAUACAUCGGAACGUGCCCUGUAGUGGGGGAUAACUAGUCGAAAGAUUAGCUAAUACCGCAUACGACCUGAGGGUGAAAGUGGGGGACCGCAAGGCCUCAUGCUAUAGGAGCGGCCGAUGUCUGAUUAGCUAGUUGGUGAGGUAAAGGCUCACCAAGGCGACGAUCAGUAGCUGGUCUGAGAGGACGAUCAGCCACACUGGGACUGAGACACGGCCCAGACUCCUACGGGAGGCAGCAGUGGGGAAUUUUGGACAAUGGGCGAAAGCCUGAUCCAGCAAUGCCGCGUGUGUGAAGAAGGCCUUCGGGUUGUAAAGCACUUUUGUCCGGAAAGAAACGGCUCUGGUUAAUACCUGGGGUCGAUGACGGUACCGGAAGAAUAAGGACCGGCUAACUACGUG